UACGUAGGUGGCGAGCGUUGUCCGGAUUUACUGGGCGUAAAGGGAGCGUAGGCGGACUUUUAAGUGAGAUGUGAAAUACCCGGGCUCAACUUGGGUGCUGCAUUUCAAACUGGAAGUCUAGAGUGCACGAGAGGAGAAUGGAAUUCCUAGUGUAGCGGUGAAAUGCGUAGAGAUUAGGAAGAACACCAGUGGCGAAGGCGAUUCUCUGGACUGUAACUGACACUGAGGCACGAAAGCGUGGGGAGCAAACAGGAUUAGAUACCCCCGUAGU
This 271-nucleotide ribosomal RNA is filed under the name uncultured prokaryote. RNAcentral's name for it is "partial 16S ribosomal RNA". It matches the Rfam family "Bacterial small subunit ribosomal RNA", at positions 524 to 794 of the family's 1533-position model. The record is from RNAcentral.